CCUACGGGAGGCAGCAGUGGGGAAUAUUGCACAAUGGGGGAAACCCUGAUGCAGCAACGCCGCGUGAAGGAAGAAGGUCUUCGGAUUGUAAACUUCUGUUCGUAGUGAAGAAUACUGUCGGUAGCUUAGGCGCAAGCCUCGGCUAACUACGUGCCAGCAGCCGCGGUAAUCCGUAGGGGGCAAGCGUUGUCCGGAAUUACUGGGUGUACAGGGAGCGCAGGCGGGAAGCCAAGUCAGCUGUGAAAACGACGGGCUUAACUUGUAGACUGCAGUUGAAACUGGUUUGCUUGAGUGAAGUAGAGGUUGGCGGAAUUCCGGGUGUAGCGGUGAAAUGCGUAGAUAUUCGGAGGAACACCGGUGGCGAAGGCGGCCAACUGGGCUGUAACUGACGCUGAGGCUCGAAAGUGUGGGGAGCAAACAGGAUUAGAUACCCUUGUAGUC
RNAcentral lists this ribosomal RNA (441 nucleotides) under uncultured bacterium. Its description in RNAcentral is "partial 16S ribosomal RNA". It matches the Rfam family "Bacterial small subunit ribosomal RNA", at positions 338 to 795 of the family's 1533-position model. The record is from RNAcentral.